This 497-nucleotide long non-coding RNA is filed under the name Polistes fuscatus (common paper wasp). RNAcentral's name for it is "uncharacterized LOC122514956". The record is from RNAcentral. Lineage: Eukaryota; Metazoa; Arthropoda; Insecta; Hymenoptera; Vespidae.
UUCACCGGCGCGUACAGAGGAUACAACACCAAACCCAGAGUGUGCUGCUGCUGCUGUUGGUCGAGUACGAAUCUCUGUGUGUGUGUAUAUAUAUACAGUUUAAAUAUAUGUAACAUAUAUGUACCUGGGAUGGAUAUGUGAAGAAGGAAGAUAAAUAAGUGGUGUGUGAAAUUCAACAUUUAUCAAGAUAAUUUGAUCCAAUUUGUAAUAGUGCAAAAAAAAAAGAAGAUAUAUAUAUAUUAAGUUAUUUAUAUUCGACGCAACACAAUGUGUUAUAUCAAGUUUUACAUAUCUACAAACGAAUAGGACAGAAGAAUCCCCUUUGAUCUGAUUAUUUAUCGAUUGAAAUCUCAAUUAUAUGAUAAUAAUAACAAUAAUAAUAAUAAUGAGAAGAAUUUGUUGGAAUCAAAAAGAAACAUCUUUUAACAACAACAACAACAACACAACAGCAACAUUAAUACUUUAAAUACAGCUGCAUAAUAUAUUUUGCAAGAAAA